Molecule: small nucleolar RNA, 108 nt
Organism: Cervus hanglu yarkandensis (Yarkand deer)
Lineage: Eukaryota; Metazoa; Chordata; Mammalia; Artiodactyla; Cervidae
Gene: SNORA70
Rfam family: Small nucleolar RNA SNORA70
About the family: snoRNA U70 seems to be exclusive to mammals and is a member of the H/ACA class of snoRNA which contain H (ANANNA) and ACA box motifs. H/ACA box snoRNAs are involved in the conversion of uridines to pseudouridines (5-ribosyluracil) a constituent of structural RNAs (transfer, ribosomal, small nuclear, and small nucleolar).
Source: Ensembl
UUUAAACAAAUUCCAUCGUAGCCAUUGCAUUCCUACAAACAGUAGCCGUCUUGGUAGUAUUUGCAGCCUGUGGCUUUAGGGGUUCCCUUAGGGACCUUGGAGAUAGCC